AGUCUAGCAUGUGCGCGAGUCAUUGGGACUCAAUAAACCUAAAGGCGCAAUGAAAGUGAAAGUCUGUUUACGCGGACUUAGGGAGGAUAGUUGCGUACACAUUGUGUACAACCUCGCACUCCCGGGGCGUCUCGCACUCAUUGCGAGGUGGGGCGCACCAAGAGCGUACACGCUGGGACCCGAAAGAUGGUGAACUAUGCCUGGUCAGGACGAAGUCAGGGGAAACCCUGAUGGAGGUCCGUAGCGAUUCUGACGUGCAAAUCGAUCGUCGGAACUGGGCUUAGGGGCGAAAGACUAAUCGAACCAUCUAGUAGCUGGUUCCCACCGAAGUUUCCCUCAGGAUAGCUGGCACUAGAUUAUGGAUGAGUCUCAUCCGGUAAAGCGAAUGAUUAGAGGCAUUGGGGUCGAAACGGCCUCAACCUAUUCUCAAACUUUAAAUGGGUGAGAUCUCCGGCUUGCUCGAUUUAUGAAGCCGGAGAUCGGAUCAAUUAGUGCCAAGUGGGCCACUUUUGGUAAGCAGAACUGGCGCUGUGGGAUGAACCAAACGCAGAGUUAAAGCGCCAAAAUCGACGCUUAUGGGAUACCAUGAAAGGCGUUGGUAACUUAAGACAGCAGGACGGUGGCCAUGGAAGUC
Molecule: ribosomal RNA, 634 nt
Filed under: Carabus rutilans rutilans
Lineage: Eukaryota; Metazoa; Arthropoda; Insecta; Coleoptera; Carabidae
Description: eukaryotic LSU rRNA
Rfam family: Eukaryotic large subunit ribosomal RNA
Source: RNAcentral